AUACAAUCCAAUAAUAGAUCCUUACUCUUAAAUAAACCUAAACCAACAAGAAAGGUGAUGGCAUAUUUCAUUAAUUUGUUUAUUCUUUUUUAUAAAAUUCCUCUUAUUACAACAACUCUCGUGUAAUUUUAAUUAUACUUUGUCAUACUAGUCAGUAACUGCACUGCUUGAUUUAAGUCUCACAGCUGAUCAUAAAAUAAACAGUAACCGUUCCAGAGACAGUUUAGACAGUGUUUUGAAGCCUAAUGUUGUACUUCAGGCUUGUGAGACUUCAACGGUUCUUAUUUAAUUUCGAGUUGGACAGUCAUAACUUGCGCAUCAGUAUAAAGAUUAUUACUUUUAUACUGGACUAUAAAUGGAAGCGCUGUAUGUUUUGGGCUGUAGAUUCAAAAGAGCCGGCUCGAGUUAAGGAAUUAAAUACACUGGUAGAACUGUGUGAUUUUACGCUGUAGAGUCAGUAGAGGGCAGCGCUGCUGCAGAGAUGCGCUGCUGGAAACACUAGCUGUGUCUCGUUUCGAAGGUAUGGAAAGCCAAAAGGGUCAUAAUUCACGUGCUUUGAAACGCCGUUUUCUAAAAGCCGUAAGGCGUUAAGUAAACGGCGUUUGGCGUUACAUAAACGCCGUACGCCGUCACAGGUUAAGUUAACGCGUGUUAUUUUAGCGCCUCACGUAACUUAAUUAGCGCAUUCAUUUGCUCAUGUACAUAACUCCUCCUCUAUCGCGUUUGAGGUAUCUACGGCAAGUCGGAGGAUUCAAAUCGUUAACGGCAACGAUGGCAACGAGGGAAACGAGGAGCUUUGUCUCGCAGUGCAAACGCACAUUAAAUGACUGCAGCCGACUUUUGUUGUCGGAUAAUCCAGGACCUGAUGUCUUUCAGUCAUCAUUAAAUAGGUAAGGAUUUUGUCUCUACUGUCCAAAACAAUUUAUUCAACUACUCGCACAGAAUUUGACUCGGGGUUUGAGUUCAGGUUUAAGGUUUAAGUUCAGUGGAGGGGGUAGUAUUGGAAAAUCAAUGAUGUACUCAUUCUCAUAACUAUUUUUACAUUAUAUUUACAUUUUCAGAAUUGAAACCAUGCAGAGGAGUCUGGAUUGGGAAGGGGGGAGGCUUAUAAAUGCCCAGGCUGCAGAUGAAAUUAUCCAUGGGAUAACAGAGUUUAUUCAGAUGGUUCAGAAUUUAGACAGGACAACACAUGAAGAUGGAUCUGGGUAUCGACCACCAUUAAUUAGUAGUGGAUCAGAAGGUGCACCAUCUUAUGCCAUUACUCGGAGUCAGCUGUCAUUUCUGAGGACUUGCGGUUUUACAGUACCGCAGGUGUUCUCCACACAUCUUUAUCCACAAUCAAAAGACGAUUAAGGCGCUUCAGUAUGUUGCAGUAUGCUUCCUAUUCAGACAUGACUGAUUCAGCCUUGGAUGAAAAUAUUCGGGACCUGGUGGCUGGAAAUGAUCAGCUUGGCCCAGAGACUGUCCGGGCGCAACUGAGAGCAGAGGGAAUCCGGGUGCAAAGAUGGAGAGUGAGGAUCAGUUUGCAGCGUGUCAACCCAAGGGCUGCAGCCCUCAGAGCAGUGUCUCAGAGACUCCGUAGAAGGUCUUGCAUUAUGGCAUCUGGAUGGAAACCACAAACUAAUAAGAUGGAGGAUCGUCAUUCAUGGUGCCAUUGAUGGCUACAGUCGGCUCAUCACUUUUCUCCGUGCUGCUAACAACAAUCGCAGCAACACUGUGAUGGAUUCUUUUUUGGAUGCAGUCUCCAAAUAUGGAGUCCCUUCCAGAGUGAGGACCGACUAUGGUGGAGAAAAUAAUGCAGUUUGCUUGUUCAUGAACUUGUUUAGAGGCACUGGCCGAGGUAGUGCUCUUAGAGGAAGAGGCACACACAAUUAGAGGAUCGAGAGACUCUGGUUGGAUCUCUGGCACGGCAUGACAAAUGUCUACUAUGACCUGUUCCAUUUUCUUGAGACUUGGGGCAUUGUGGAUGUAGACAAUGAAAUGCACAUGUGGGCUCUGCAUUAUGUCUACAUACCAAGAAUUAAUAAAGACUUGAAAAAUUACUCAAGGCAGUGGAACAACCAUGGAGGCACCCGACCCCUAUGCAGAUUUUCAUCCGAGGUUGCCUGGCACAGCAGAGACGAUCAACAACUGCAAUGCAGGACAUAUUUGGACCAAGACCCUCAGACUCUGCUGGAGGAAUGACUGCUCCAGCACAAGAUACCAGCGAGAGCCAUUCUGCAACAGAUGCACUUGAUGUCCAUUGGCCUGAAAGGUUAACUCUACCUCCAAACCUGUUCACUCUGAGUGAUGAGAUGCAACAACUUGUGGGGCAAAUUGAUCCACUUGGAGGCUCCCGAGAGAGUCUUGGAAUGGAUGUCUUACAGAAUGUUCUUUCUUUUCUGGGAAAUCAGGUGACUUAAAGUACAUUUAAAGCAAUAAUUCACCACUGGAGUCAUACAGAUUACCUUAAAGUCAGCAUGAAAUCAAAAUCGACCCCAUCUAUUUUCUUAAUGCAUGUUACUGGUCUUGUUGUGAAUGAUUCAUGCUGUUUUGUUUAUUUUUGUCCUUUAAUCUUUUAUCAAAAUAUAACUCGCUCUUCCGGUGAUGCAACAGACUCAUCUCUGUAUGCAGGAUUUCACCAAUCAUUCGGUCUGCUUUAAUGCUGGCCCUUCAGCCUGUCAUGUACACAAACCUGGCUGGCAUCAAAGCAGCUAAUAUGUAGAGAUGAAGAGGUGUCAUAACUUCUGCUACUUUUCUUUUAAUUUCAAAGUUGUGACUUUAAAGCUGCCUUUGUGCUUUUAAGAGCUUCAGAGUUUGAUCUCCAUUUACUUGUACUUUAUGGAGAAACGGACACAUCUGUUGCGGUGUGAAUAAACAACUGUUUUUUUAUGAUGAAAUAACUAAACAACUUAAGUAUUAAUUGUGUAAAAAUAAAGCAUUCCACUGUUUUCA
Myxocyprinus asiaticus (Chinese sucker) is the source of this 2934-nucleotide long non-coding RNA. RefSeq lists it as uncharacterized. The transcript has 4 exons. The record is from RefSeq and is a predicted model, not a curated record. Lineage: Eukaryota; Metazoa; Chordata; Actinopteri; Cypriniformes; Catostomidae.